AGUGAACGCUGGCGGUAGGCCUAACACAUGCAAGUCGAACGGCAGCACAGUAAGAGCUUGCUCUUACGGGUGGCGAGUGGCGGACGGGUGAGGAAUACAUCGGAAUCUACUUUUUCGUGGGGGAUAACGUAGGGAAACUUACGCUAAUACCGCAUACGUCCUACGGGUGAAAGCAGGGGAUCUUCGGACCUUGCGCGAUUGAAUGAGACGAUGUCGGAUUAGCUAGUUGGCGGGGUAGAGGCCCACCAAGGCGACGAUCCGUAGCUGGUCUGAGAGGAUGAUCAGCCACACUGGAACUGAGACACGGUCCAGACUCCUACGGGAGGCAGCAGUGGGGAAUAUUGGACAAAGGGCGCAAGCCUGAUCCAGCCAUACCGCGUGAGUGAAGAAGGCCUUCGGGUUGUAAAGCCCUUUUGUUGGGAAAGAAAAGCAGCAGGUUAAUACCCCGCUGUUCUGACGGUACCCAAAGAAUAAGCACCGGCUAACUUCGUG
RNAcentral lists this ribosomal RNA (492 nucleotides) under uncultured bacterium. RNAcentral describes it as "partial 16S ribosomal RNA". It matches the Rfam family "Bacterial small subunit ribosomal RNA", at positions 29 to 507 of the family's 1533-position model. The record is from RNAcentral.